ACUCCUACGGGAGGCAGCAGUGGGGAAUUUUGGACAAUGGGCGAAAGCCUGAUCCAGCAAUGCCGCGUGCAGGAUGAAGGCCCUCGGGUUGUAAACUGUCUUUUGUACGGAACGAAAGCCGUGGGGCUAAUAUCCCCGGGUCAUGACGGUACCGUAAGAAUAAGCACCGGCUAACUACGUGCCAGCAGCCGCGGUAAUACGUAGGGUGCAAGCGUUAAUCGGAAUUACUGGGCGUAAAGCGUGCGCAGGCGGUUUUGUAAGACAGUGGUGAAAUCCCCGGGCUCAACCUGGGAACUGCCAUUGUGACUGCAAGGCUAGAGUGCGGCAGAGGGGAUGGAAUUCCGCGUGUAGCAGUGAAAUGCGUAGAUAUGCGGAGGAACACCGAUGGCGAAGGCAAUCCCCUGGGCCUGCACUGACGCUCAUGCACGAAAGCUGGGAGCAAACAGGAUUAGAUACCCCUGGUAGCGACUGA
This 472-nucleotide ribosomal RNA is filed under the name uncultured bacterium. Its description in RNAcentral is "bacterial SSU rRNA". It matches the Rfam family "Bacterial small subunit ribosomal RNA", at positions 335 to 803 of the family's 1533-position model. The record is from RNAcentral.